This is a long non-coding RNA of Patella vulgata (common limpet), 417 nucleotides long. RefSeq lists it as uncharacterized. The record is from RefSeq and is a predicted model, not a curated record. Lineage: Eukaryota; Metazoa; Mollusca; Gastropoda; Patellidae. The transcript has 3 exons.
CAACUACUCGCACGCGCAAAAACUUGGUAUAUGGAUGCAACUUUUCGGGUGGUGAACAAGCCAUGGUCUCAGCUGUUUUCCAUACACGCCUUCAUUAAGACUGGAGAGACCACCCGACAGUUACCAUUGGUGUUUUGUGUAAUGUCGGGUAAAAGCCAAGACGACUAUUAUAAAUUUCCAUAUUAGAUGCCAUAGCAAAUCAAAGAUCAUAUAAUAAAAUAAGUCAAAAAACCCAAAUAUGGAAAAAGAAAGAGCUGAAGAAAUGGUGAUUUGAGCACCUAUGAUUUCUCAUAGGUGUUUUUGGAGGUUUCCAUAUUAGAUGCCAUAGCAAAUCAAAGAUCAUAUAAUAAAAUAAGUCAAAAAACCCAAAUAUGGGAAAAGAAAGAGCUGAAGAAAUGGUGAUUUGAGCACCUAUGA